UGGGGAAUAUUGCACAAUGGGGGAAACCCUGAUGCAGCGACGCCGCGUGAACGAAGAAGGUAUUCGUAUCGUAAAGUUCUGUCCUAUGGGAAGAUAAUGACAGUACCAUAGAAGAAAGCUCCGGCUAAAUACGUGCCAGCAGCCGCGGUAAUACGUAUGGAGCGAGCGUUGUCCGGAAUUAUUGGGCGUAAAGGGUACGCAGGCGGUUUAAUAAGUCGAAUGUUAAAGAUCGGGGCUCAACCCCGUAAAGCAUUGGAAACUGAUAAACUUGAGUAGUGGAGAGGAAAGUGGAAUUCCUAGUGUAGUGGUGAAAUACGUAGAUAUUAGGAGGAAUACCAGUAGCGAAGGCGACUUUCUGGACACAAACUGACGCUGAGGUACGAAAGCGUGGGGAGCAAACAG
RNAcentral lists this ribosomal RNA (402 nucleotides) under bacterium. RNAcentral describes it as "partial 16S ribosomal RNA". It matches the Rfam family "Bacterial small subunit ribosomal RNA", at positions 355 to 775 of the family's 1533-position model. The record is from RNAcentral.